UACGUAGGGUGCGAGCGUUAAUCGGAAUUACUGGGCGUAAAGCGUGCGCAGGCGGUGAUGUAAGACCGUUGUGAAAUCCCCGGGCUUAACCUGGGAACUGCAUUUGUGACUGCAUCGCUGGAGUGCGGCAGAGGGGGAUGGAAUUCCGCGUGUAGCAGUGAAAUGCGUAGAUAUGCGGAGGAACACCGAUGGCGAAGGCAGCCUCCUGGGAUAACACUGACGCUCAUGCACGAAAGCGUGGGGAGCAAACAGG
Molecule: ribosomal RNA, 253 nt
Filed under: uncultured bacterium
Lineage: Bacteria
Description: partial 16S ribosomal RNA
Rfam family: Bacterial small subunit ribosomal RNA
Source: RNAcentral